Molecule: ribosomal RNA, 492 nt
Filed under: uncultured bacterium
Lineage: Bacteria
Description: partial 16S ribosomal RNA
Rfam family: Bacterial small subunit ribosomal RNA
Source: RNAcentral
AUUGAACGCUGGCGGCAUGCUUUACACAUGCAAGUCGAACGGUAACAGGCCUUCGGGCGCUGACGAGUGGCGAACGGGGGAGUAAUGCAGCGUAACGUACCCAGAGGUGGGGGAUAACGCAGCGAAAGCUGUGCUAAUACCGCAUGUGAUCUGAGGAUUAAAGCGGGUGACUGAGCAGCAAUUUUUGGCAUCGCGCCUUUGGAGCGGCCGAUGUCGGAUUAGCUAGUUGGUGGGGUAAAGGCCUACCAAGGCGACGAUCCGCAGCUGGUCUGAGAGAACGACAACCACGACCGGGAAAGAGACCAGCACCAGAAUCCUAAGGGAGGACACAGUGGGACACAUUGGAAAACCGGCGCAAGCCUGACCCAGCAAUCACACGUGGGCGCAGCAGGCCUUCGGGCUGUACAGCGCUUUUCGCAGGAACGAAUCGGUGUCCGCUAAUACCGAGCGAUAAUGACGGUACCUGCAGAAUAAGCACCGGCUAACUACGUG